Molecule: ribosomal RNA, 458 nt
Filed under: uncultured bacterium
Lineage: Bacteria
Description: bacterial SSU rRNA
Rfam family: Bacterial small subunit ribosomal RNA
Source: RNAcentral
UACGGAAGGCAGCAGUGGGGAAUAUUGCACAAUGGGCGAAAGCCUGAUGCAGCUAUGCCGCGUGUAUGAAGAAGGCCUUAGGGUUGUAAAGUACUUUCAUCGGGGAGGAAAAAACAAAACUAAUAAUUUUAUUUCUUGACGUUACCCGAAAAAGAAGCACCGGCUAACUCCGUGCCAGCAGCCGCGGUAAUACGGAGGGUGCUAGCGUUAAUCAGAAUUACUGGGCGUAAAGAGCACGUAGGUGGUUUUUUUAAGUCAGAUGUGAAAUCCCUGGGCUUAACCUAGGAACUGCAUUUUGAAACUGAAAUACUAGAGUAUCGUAGAGGGAGGUAGAAUUCUAGGUGUAGCGGUGAAAUGCGUAGAUAUCUGGAGGAAUACCUGUGGCGAAAGCGGCCUCUAAACGAAUAACUGACACUGAGGUGCGAAAAGCGUGGGGAGCAAAACAGGGAUUAGAUACC